AUGCAAAAUGCAUUGUUGAAGCUGUGGGCAAUGGUUGAAGAUAGCAGGAGUGCUAGGGUGAAUGAUAAUCUUGAAAGUUCUUUCACUAUCCACCAUCUGACAGAAGAGAAGAACAAGUUGGAGGCCAACUAUGAUAAGCUAGUCCAAGAUGUGCAUGAGCUUAUGAGCUUCCAGAAGGAGAGGGUGGUGGAUUUCGGACAUCUGCAGUCUGCCAUUACAUAUCAGCAUGAAUGCAGAAGUGACCUGGUGGCUGAUAUGAAGGCACAGAUGGCAAAGAGAGAUGCAGAGUCUAAGAAGCUUAAGCAGAAUUAUGAAGUGCUACUGAACCUGACAAGAUCUCAAGCUACAGUCAUCCAGAACCUGAAGUUGAAGCAUAUUACAGACAAGCAAUUGCUUAGUGAAGCUAAGAUGAACUUGGAGUUGAAGAAUGCAGAGCUCACAAAGUCUGAGGAGAAGCUCACCCAAGAUAAGCUAGAGUUGAAGUUUCAGGUUUUAGAUUUGCUUAAGGGAAAGGAAAAGCAUGGUGAAGAGAUGGUGCAGCUAGAGCUUCAGUUUGCUGAGCUGAUGAAGGCAGAGGAGAAGCUGAAGGAGAAGAUCAAGGGGAUCCAGGCCAUCUUAGAGAAGUGA
Molecule: ribosomal RNA, 627 nt
Filed under: Triticum aestivum (bread wheat)
Lineage: Eukaryota; Viridiplantae; Streptophyta; Magnoliopsida; Poales; Poaceae
Description: partial small subunit ribosomal RNA
Source: RNAcentral